UCGCUAGUCAGCUGGCCCUUUAAGAGAACUGCUUGACCUUCAGUGUCAUUGCCUCUUAGACUUCUGGGAACAGGAGAGGACAUGAAAACCCAGCAAAGGCUGAGAAAGGAAGACUAGGUUCCAGGUGGCAGAAGAAUAAAGCCAGAGAAGACAGUUGAUGCAGGAAGAAGAAGGACUGGAUAGGGCUAGAGGAGAGAAGACAGUCUGAGAAGAGAGACUGAGCAGAGUGGACAUAGGAGACUGUUGAGCCUGGAGAAGCUGAGCUGAGCAGAAGGUGGUCUGCAGGAUCUCUGCCACCUAUGGAGGGUUCAUGACACCCUUGUCACUAGGCUGUCUGCUCUCUGGUGUCAUAGGCUCUACCCCUCAGAGCUCUGGGGGUCUGCAGUCAAAAGGAACUCGGCUGCCUCAUCUCCCGUCUGUGCAGAUGUGGGUUUCCUUGUGGAUGUGAGGCCCAUGUUGGCCUUUCCAGUUCCCAUUCUCCGGCCCUAACUACUGAGGCUCUGAGCACCUUGGGGUUGAGUUUCUCUUCUGGCCUCAGGUCAUCCCUGCGUCUGGCUGGAACCUGAGCAGGACUGUGUCCCUGGUGCCCUAAAGCUGGCUGAUCAAAUAUCCAUCUGACUCUGGAAUUUGUCAUAAUGACUUGAAGUCUGUAGUCCAACUGCCCCAACAAUGGACAGCCGUGAAUGGGAAGUCCAAGAGUCUAGAAGUUGCUCAGUCCCACGAGGCUAGCAGUUUCAGCUGUUCCUCCGUAGAAGUUGGUUCCAGCAGAGGUGCUGGUCAUGACCACAUGGGCACAUUCACUUGCCAAAAUCCUUUAAAAUGUUAAACGUUCCACAACUCCAACAGACGCAUGGAUGUCUAUAAAUACCUGUGGAAUGACGUAUGGAGGACAGCGAGGUUCCUCACAAUCAACCUUAUGUUGCUAUAGCAAUGCCGUGGACUGGUAAUUUAUGAAAUGAAACACUUCCAACAGCUCUGGCAGCUGCUAGAGCCAAGGCUGAAGGAUGGCUCUUUCUUUGAGGCAGGGUCUUGGUAGGUAGUCCUUGAUGACCUCAACUUAGUGUCUCAGUUAGGGUUUUAUUGCUGUGAACAGACACCAUGACCAAGGCAACUCUU
RNAcentral lists this small RNA (1116 nucleotides) under Rattus norvegicus (Norway rat). RNAcentral's name for it is "uncharacterized LOC102551503". The record is from RNAcentral. Lineage: Eukaryota; Metazoa; Chordata; Mammalia; Rodentia; Muridae.